Molecule: ribosomal RNA, 730 nt
Filed under: Leuconostoc mesenteroides
Lineage: Bacteria; Bacillati; Bacillota; Bacilli; Lactobacillales; Lactobacillaceae
Description: bacterial SSU rRNA
Rfam family: Bacterial small subunit ribosomal RNA
Source: RNAcentral
UGGCUCAGGAUGAACGCUGGCGGCGUGCCUAAUACAUGCAAGUCGAACGCACAGCGAAAGGUGCUUGCACCUUUCAAGUGAGUGGCGAACGGGUGAGUAACACGUGGACAACCUGCCUCAAGGCUGGGGAUAACAUUUGGAAACAGAUGCUAAUACCGAAUAAAACUUAGUGUCGCAUGACAAAAAGUUAAAAGGCGCUUCGGCGUCACCUAGAGAUGGAUCCGCGGUGCAUUAGUUAGUUGGUGGGGUAAAGGCCUACCAAGACAAUGAUGCAUAGCCGAGUUGAGAGACUGAUCGGCCACAUUGGGACUGAGACACGGCCCAAACUCCUACGGGAGGCUGCAGUAGGGAAUCUUCCACAAUGGGCGAAAGCCUGAUGGAGCAACGCCGCGUGUGUGAUGAAGGCUUUCGGGUCGUAAAGCACUGUUGUAUGGGAAGAACAGCUAGAAUAGGAAAUGAUUUUAGUUUGACGGUACCAUACCAGAAAGGGACGGCUAAAUACGUGCCAGCAGCCGCGGUAAUACGUAUGUCCCGAGCGUUAUCCGGAUUUAUUGGGCGUAAAGCGAGCGCAGACGGUUUAUUAAGUCUGAUGUGAAAGCCCGGAGCUCAACUCCGGAAUGGCAUUGGAAACUGGUUAACUUGAGUGCAGUAGAGGUAAGUGGAACUCCAUGUGUAGCGGUGGAAUGCGUAGAUAUAUGGAAGAACACCAGUGGCGAAGGCGGCUUACUGG